AGUGAACGCUGGCGGUGGGCCUAACACAUGCAAGUCGAACGGACGCACAGUAAGCGUUUGCUCUUACGGGUGGCGAGUGGCGGACGGGUGAGGCAUGCAUAGGAAUCUUCUUUUUCGUGGGGGACAACGUAGGGCCACUUACGCUAAUAGCGCAUACAUCCUACGGGUGAGAGCAGUGGAUCUUCGCAGCUUUCGCGAUAGAAAGAGACGACGUCGGAUUACCUUGUUGGGAAGGUAAGGGCUCACCAUGGCGAGGCUGCGUAGCCGACCUGAGAGGAUGAUCGGCCACACUGGAACUGAGACACGGUCCAGACUCCUACGGGAGGCAGCAGUAGGGAAUCUUCCGCAAUGGGCGAAAGCCUGACGGAGCAACGCCGCGUGAGUGAUGAAGGUCUUCGGAUCGUAAAACUCUGUUAUUAGGGAAGAACAAAUGUGUAAGUAACUAUGCACGUCUUGACGGUACCUAAUCAGAAAGCCACGGCUAACUACGUG
This 492-nucleotide ribosomal RNA is filed under the name uncultured bacterium. RNAcentral's name for it is "partial 16S ribosomal RNA". It matches the Rfam family "Bacterial small subunit ribosomal RNA", at positions 29 to 507 of the family's 1533-position model. The record is from RNAcentral.